AAGUAUCUAUAAAGAGAUAAGAUCAACAGGUAAGGUGAUGGUGCCAACUUGAAUCAAACAAGAUUUAUAAACAGUGGAUGUGAUGAAAGUUUCUCCCAACGGAGUUUCCACAGAUAGGUCAAAGUCUAAUUUCUCCGGAGUCAAGUUUAAACGUUGAGCACAAGCAGGAGAGAUAAAUGAAUGGGUAGCACCGCUAUCAAGUAAGGUAUAAACUUCGCAAGAAUUUAUAAAUAGCUUACCCGUGAUCACCUCGUUUGGGUUCCUCGCAUUUUGACCAGUCACAACAAACGCUCUUCCAGGAACCGUUGACUUUGACUUUU
This 320-nucleotide long non-coding RNA is filed under the name Panax ginseng (ginseng). RNAcentral describes it as "long non-coding RNA (PGIN_LNC007329)". Lineage: Eukaryota; Viridiplantae; Streptophyta; Magnoliopsida; Apiales; Araliaceae. The record is from RNAcentral.